AUUGAACGCUGGCGGCAUGCCUAACACAUGCAAGUCGAGCGAGCGGCGGACGGGUGAGUAAUGUAUGGGGACCUGCCCAAUCGAGGGGGAUAACUACUGGAAACCGUGGCUAAUACCGCAUACUAUCGGAUCACCCGAUAGUGGAUUAGCUAGUGGGUGGGGUAAAGGCUCACCAAGGCGACGAUCUCUAGCUGGUCUGAGAGGAUGAUCAGCCACACUGGGACUGAGACACGGCCCAGACUCCUACGGGAGGCAGCAGUGGGGAAUAUUGGACAAUGGGCGAAAGCCUGAUGGAGCCAUGCCGCGUGUAUGAAGAAGGCCUUAGGGUUGUAAAGUACUUUCGGCGGGGAAGCGGUACCCAACGAGAAAGCACCGGCUAACUACGUGCCAGCAGCCGCGGUAAUAC
RNAcentral lists this ribosomal RNA (406 nucleotides) under uncultured bacterium. Its description in RNAcentral is "partial 16S ribosomal RNA". It matches the Rfam family "Bacterial small subunit ribosomal RNA", at positions 30 to 526 of the family's 1533-position model. The record is from RNAcentral.